Molecule: long non-coding RNA, 1477 nt
Organism: Esox lucius (northern pike)
Lineage: Eukaryota; Metazoa; Chordata; Actinopteri; Esociformes; Esocidae
Source: Ensembl
CCGCAGACACAGCUGGCAGAGCCGUUCAAAGCCUUCCUCCUGCCGGUGGCUGCCAAUGUUCUACAUAUUCCUGUAGGAAACUCCUCUUCAUCAGUUUCUCCUUGAGACAGGUCUAUUUUUCAGAGCCAGUCAUUUUCCUGCUCCAUCCCCCUGUUGUUUUCCUCCAGGCUGGGUCCGUCCGGGAUAGCGUGUGGACGUGGGCGCCCAGCCGUGAGUGGCCGUGCUUGGGCCAGGGAUAGGGGAAGUGCUCCCCGUUGCUGAGGAAUCACAAGAAGAUCCUGCGUGCAAGGCUACUCCAACGUGUGUUAUGCAAGGCGGCCAGACAUCCAGCCUCCCUCUCACUCUCCCCAAGCUCCCUCCCCUCUCUCCCUGUAUCUCAGUACUCCAGUGACAUAGCUCCUCCCACAGCCAGCCUCAUCCGCCGCAUCAGGAUGAGAAAAAUCCCCUCUGUUUCAUCUGAGCUGAGGAAGAUGGAGAGAGAGGGAGGGAAACAGAGGCACAGAGAAAUGACCCAUAACACAUGCCAGACAGAACACAUUCUGGAGUAUUCUUCCAUUUUUAUUUUUUUGCUUGAUCAGACAAUUCUACAGGUUCCUCCAAGACAGCGUUUAUUUUCUAUAGGCCCUCCCUCAUACACCCGCAUGUUCGCACACACACUUCAUAUUAAUUACUGCUUUACUGACCUAGAAUAACCUUCUCCUUGCAGCAUCUCAGGCCUCUGCCAGACCUCCCCUAGACGUCCCCCAGGCCUCCUUUUGCUCUACCCGAGGAAUCUAUCGCCUUUAACAGGCAGGGCAGCCUGAUAACACCCAACACCACACACACACACACACACAAACAAACUGGGAGCUGGGGCCUCCCUCCCACCAGGAGUUCUUAUCCGCAGCACACAGGAUCAAGUAGAGCAGAGAGCAGCAACAACAGCAUAUACAGUAUAUACAUCCUCAGUGACUUACUGACUGUAUACAGCCUUACUGACUGACUGUAUACAUCCUCAGUGACUUACUGACUGUAUACAUCCUCAGUGACUUACUGACUGUAUACAUCCUCAGUGACUUACUGACUGUAUACAGCCUUACUGACUGACUGUAUACAUCCUCAGUGACUUACUGACUGUAUACAGCCUUACUGACUGACUGUAUACAUCCUCAGUGACUUACUGACUGUAUACAGCCUUACUGACUGACUGUAUACAUCCUCAGUGACUUACUGACUGUAUACAGCCUUACUGACUGACUACAUACAUCCUCAGUGACUUACUGACUGUAUACAGCCUUACUGACUGACUGUAUACAUCCUCAGUGACUUACUGACUGUAUACAGCCUUACUGACUGACUGUAUACAUCCUCAGUGACUUACUGACUGUAUACCGCCUUACUGACUGACUGUAUACAUCCUCAGUGACUUACUGACUGUAUACAGCCUUACUGACUGACUGUAUACAUCCUUAGUGACUUACUGACUGUAUACAGCCUU